This 1166-nucleotide ribosomal RNA is filed under the name Chryseobacterium piscicola. Its description in RNAcentral is "bacterial SSU rRNA". It matches the Rfam family "Bacterial small subunit ribosomal RNA", at positions 96 to 1269 of the family's 1533-position model. The record is from RNAcentral. Lineage: Bacteria; Pseudomonadati; Bacteroidota; Flavobacteriia; Flavobacteriales; Weeksellaceae.
CGGCGUACGGGUGCGGAACACGUGUGCAACCUGCCUUUAUCAGGGGGAUAGCCUUUCGAAAGGAAGAUUAAUACCCCAUAAUAUAUUGAAUGGCAUCAUUUGAUAUUGAAAACUCCGGUGGAUAGAGAUGGGCACGCGCAAGAUUAGAUAGUUGGUGAGGUAACGGCUCACCAAGUCAGUGAUCUUUAGGGGGCCUGAGAGGGUGAUCCCCCACACUGGUACUGAGACACGGACCAGACUCCUACGGGAGGCAGCAGUGAGGAAUAUUGGACAAUGGGUGAGAGCCUGAUCCAGCCAUCCCGCGUGAAGGACGACGGUUCUAUGGAUUGUAAACUUCUUUUAUACUGGGAUAAACCUACCCUCGUGAGGGUAGCUGAAGGUACAGUAUGAAUAAGCACCGGCUAACUCCGUGCCAGCAGCCGCGGUAAUACGGAGGGUGCAAGCGUUAUCCGGAUUUAUUGGGUUUAAAGGGUCCGUAGGCGGAUCUGUAAGUCAGUGGUGAAAUCUCAUAGCUUAACUAUGAAACUGCCAUUGAUACUGCAGGUCUUGAGUAAAGUAGAAGUGGCUGGAAUAAGUAGUGUAGCGGUGAAAUGCAUAGAUAUUACUUAGAACACCAAUUGCGAAGGCAGGUCACUAUGUUUUAACUGACGCUGAUGGACGAAAGCGUGGGGAGCGAACAGGAUUAGAUACCCUGGUAGUCCACGCCGUAAACGAUGCUAACUCGUUUUUGGGUUUUCGGAUUCAGAGACUAAGCGAAAGUGAUAAGUUAGCCACCUGGGGAGUACGUUCGCAAGAAUGAAACUCAAAGGAAUUGACGGGGGCCCGCACAAGCGGUGGAUUAUGUGGUUUAAUUCGAUGAUACGCGAGGAACCUUACCAAGGCUUAAAUGGGAAUUGACAGGUUUAGAAAUAGACUUUUCUUCGGACAAUUUUCAAGGUGCUGCAUGGUUGUCGUCAGCUCGUGCCGUGAGGUGUUAGGUUAAGUCCUGCAACGAGCGCAACCCCUGUCACUAGUUGCCAUCAUUCAGUUGGGGACUCUAGUGAGACUGCCUACGCAAGUAGAGAGGAAGGUGGGGAUGACGUCAAAUCAUCACGGCCCUUACGCCUUGGGCCACACACGUAAUACAAUGGCCAGUACAGAGGGCAGCUACCAGGCGACUGGAUGCG